Molecule: long non-coding RNA, 2327 nt
Filed under: Aquilegia coerulea
Lineage: Eukaryota; Viridiplantae; Streptophyta; Magnoliopsida; Ranunculales; Ranunculaceae
Description: long non-coding RNA (ACOE_LNC000228)
Source: RNAcentral
GGCAAACCUGGAAAUUUUUUUCAAAAAAAAAAUAAUAAUUUAAAUAGCUACUGGUUUGAUGAAUAACAAAUGCUAGUAAUUACAAAUUUACAAUUGAAUAAGUACAAAAACAAGUUGGUUUACAUAGACAGACAACAUCAAUAAGCAUUACAAAACAUCUACUAUUUCUUGUCUUUACUUUUCUUCUUCUUCUUCUUCUUUUUCUUUUUUUUUGGCUAGCAAUUUCCUUUCGUCUUUCCUUUAUCAUCUCAGCCACUAUUUGGGCAUUAGUCUACGAGAUUUCAUCUGUACUUUCGGCUCGGAUAACGUCGAAUACAAUUGUUUCACCUCUGGUUUAAUCUUACCAUAUUCCUUCAAAGCUCUACAGACCUUGCAUUAUCUGACUAAUUUCUUUGAGACUGAAAAACAAAACCAAAAAAUAAAACAGAACACAAAGAUAUACAUGAAAGAUAAUAUAUAUAUAUAUUUGAAUAAAAUUACUUUUGAGAGAGUUGCUUUAACUGACCUACAUUCAAAGAUAUACCAACUGAGAACUGCUUUAAUAUACAUCAAGGAUCUGUUUGUCUUCAUUUGAAGAAAUACAUUGGGACUACCCCAAUUUUCUCAUGAGCAGGCUACACAUAUGAAAUAUAAAUAAAUAAAGUUAAGAAAAACUGCAACCGUUUGAAAACUAGAAUAAAGAAUCAAAACAGGAUAUACAACAAAACAAUCUGACCAACAGUUUGAUCAGACCAGCAAUGGUGUGACUCAGCAAAAUUAUUUGUUUUCCAUAAGUAUAACAAAUAUAAUACUUAGAAACGUCUCUACAAGCCAAUCCAAAUAGACGUGCACAGAAGUUUUACCUGAUCAUCCAGCCCUGGUCUCCGUAGUGACUGUUGAAUAAAUACACACCAACAAUCAGAUCACUCAGAUAAAUGUAAGGUACCUGAUUGCUUUUCAGAAUGUUGGUAUCGUGUAUUCUUAUAUGUUAACAGGGGAUCUUGAUAACCUGAUUCCAUAUUCAACUUUAACCCGUCUUCUUCUAUUUGUUGCAUCCACAACCUCUGAAAAAUUCCUGAUAGACAGAAAAAAAGUAAGACUAAGCAUGUAUAAUGUAACAUAAAUUGAGUCUUGACAGGAGCUACUUUUUGCAAUUUUAACAAAUUAUUACGUAGGACAAAUGAUCAUGAACCUUUUUGCUGCUGGUAUUAACAGAUACAUACAACAAACAUACAUACAUGUAGAAAAUAUAGAUAACUUCAUGGCUCUUAAUGUCUUAGGGCAUCUCUAAUGGUUCGGCAAAUUUGGUGGUCCACGUAUACAGAUUUGAUGAUAUUUUGAUGAAAGUUUUGAUUCAAAAAUGUGCUCCUUCUAAUGGUUCGGCAAAUUAAAGCGGCUAAUGGAUGACCACUUUACUAAAGAGACUAAAGCGGGCCUAUGGACACCGCUUGAAUGUAAUGGGGCGGCCUUAGAGUGCCACUUCACCCAAUGGUUAAGUGAGGCGGGUAACAAUGUGCCACUUAAACCACCGUUUUGUUUAAAGCGGGCAUCCAAGAGCCACAUUAGUGAGGCGGGUAAUAAAGUGCCGCUUUAAGUGGAUGUCCAAGUGCCACUUAGUUAAAAAAAAAAAAAAAAAAGUGCCACUUAGUUAAAACGGCCUUUCAAGUGCCACUUGAAGCGGCACUUCAUUAGCCGCUUUAAGUGAAGCGACCUUCUCUUGCCCGCCUCAACCCAUCAUCAAAUUUGUUGUUUUUCAUCAAAAUUUCACCAAAUUUGAUGAUUUUUUGAUGAUUAUUGGUGAAAUAUCAAAUUUGAUGAACUUUUGAUGACCAUUAGAUGAAGUUUUUCUCACUUUCUCAUCAAAUUUGAGUUUGGUGACAGAUUUGAUGAACCAUUAGAGAUGCCCUUAGUAUUCCAAAUGACCAGCCCCAAUUCACAUGGCCCUUACAGUAUACGUGGACUGUGGGCCAAUCUAAACAAAUAGAAGAAGGGAAAACAAUAUCCCAGAAAAAAAAUUUUGAGAAAAUAAAACAAAUGGGAGUACAGCCAACAGUCUAACAAACAGAGGAACGGCAAAUAAGAUGAAAUUGGCAGCGGUAAUGCCUCAAUACUAACAAGUAAGAUAAACUGGUUUAGUAUACUAUUGAGCAUAGCUUCAUUUGAAUUGAGAAUUUCUCAUGCUUAUGAUCACCGUAUUAGAUCGUUCAUGUAGUUUUGUACACUUCAACAGGAUUUAGAAACUACUAUAAGAAUGUAAAUGUCACUUACAUAAAGCUAGAUAUGGCAUUGGAUUUCAACCUGCCUUGUAAAUAUUGCUUGCCCGAAACAGAUUACAGGUGCUUGAGGUU